RNAcentral lists this ribosomal RNA (483 nucleotides) under uncultured bacterium. Its description in RNAcentral is "partial 16S ribosomal RNA". It matches the Rfam family "Bacterial small subunit ribosomal RNA", at positions 28 to 523 of the family's 1533-position model. The record is from RNAcentral.
GACGAACGCUGGCGGCGUGCUUAACACAUGCAAGUCGAACGAUGAAGCCGGAGCUUGCUCCGGUGGAUUAGUGGCGAACGGGUGAGUAACACGUGAGCAAUCUGCCCUUGACUCUGGGAUAACUGCGGGAAACUGUAGCUAAUACCGGAUACGACACCUUGGGGCAUCCCAGGGUGUGGAAAGAAUUUCGGUCAAGGAUGAGCUCGCGGCCUAUCAGCUAGUUGGUGAGGUAAUGGCUCACCAAGGCGACGACGGGUAGCCGGCCUGAGAGGGGGACCGGCCACACUGGAACUGAGACACGGUCCAGACUCAUGCGGGAGGAAGCAGUGGGGAAUAUUGCACAAUGGGCGAAAGCCUGAUGCAGCAACGCCGCGUGAGGGAUGAAGGCCUUCGGGUUGUAAACCUCUUUUAGCAGGGAAGAAGCGAAAGUGACGGUACCUGCAGAAAAAGCACCGGCUAACUACGUGCCAGCAACCGCCGUAA